GAGCUCGUUUCGGCACCACAUAUACUAAAAUUGAGACAAUACACAGAGAACAGCAUGGACCCUGUGCAAAGAUGACAUGCAAAUUUGUGAGGCAUUCCAUAUUUUU
This is a small nuclear RNA of Balaenoptera musculus (blue whale), 106 nucleotides long. Lineage: Eukaryota; Metazoa; Chordata; Mammalia; Artiodactyla; Balaenopteridae. The record is from Ensembl.